RNAcentral lists this transfer-messenger RNA (357 nucleotides) under Clostridiales bacterium. It matches the Rfam family "transfer-messenger RNA". From Rfam's summary of the family: Bacterial tmRNA, also known as 10Sa RNA or SsrA, is named for its dual tRNA and mRNA-like properties. Its role is to liberate the mRNA from a stalled ribosome. Lineage: Bacteria; Bacillati; Bacillota; Clostridia; Eubacteriales. RNAcentral also lists the same sequence under 2 other names. The record is from RNAcentral.
GGGGGCGUACUGGAUUCGACGGGGAUAGUAGAAGCGCGAGAAGCGAGCCGCGGAUUUCGGGGCCGCGUCAACAACCUGAAGCUUAAACACAAACGCUAAUAACGAUAAUAAUUUAGCACUCGCAGCUUAAACGCUGUGACGUUCGCCCUGUAGUUCCCGCGCUAUAGGUGCCGGGCGACGAUAAGGCGGGGAACCAGCCUGCUUAAGCUUUGCAGCAGGUGGGAUUGAUGAAGCUACUGAAGCCCGGAUCCUGUCAGUGGGAGCCGGGUGGAGGGAAUGUCAAAAUGCUGACUGCGCUCGGAGAUGCUUUCGCCGAUAUAUCUUCGGACAGGGGUUCAACUCCCCUCGCCUCCACCA